RNAcentral lists this long non-coding RNA (5848 nucleotides) under Homo sapiens (human). RNAcentral's name for it is "HSALNT0081820". The record is from RNAcentral. Lineage: Eukaryota; Metazoa; Chordata; Mammalia; Primates; Hominidae.
GUCUGGUCAUCCCACAGGACUGGUCAUCCUGCAGGACUGGUUAUCCUGCAGUACUGGUUAUCCCAUAGGACUGGUUGCCUCGUAGGACUGGUCAUCCCGCAGGACUGGUUAUCCCGCAGGACUGGUUGCCUCAUAGGAUUGGUCAUCCCACAGGACUGGUCAUCCUGCAGGACUGGUUAUCCCAUUGAAGGCAGUGCCACGGCUGCCUGGAUUCCCAGCCUUCCACAUACUGACAUGUGCAGGUCAUCUCCGAAUUUGAGGUUCUGCCCGAUUCAGCUUCUUAAUCUACUUAUUUUUCCUCUUCUCCACAUAACUUAAAAGAUGUUCUGCUUUCAUUCCUUUUAUCUUGUUACCCCUUACCUCUGGGGUCCUUCCCACCUCCUGAAUCCCGGGCAGCUGUGGAAUGGAGGAACCUUCCCCCCAGCCCUGUCUCUUUCUCCUCCAGCUCUGCCCCAGUGCUGCUGGUGUCCCUGUCUGCUUUGCAGCCCCCCUUCCUUGGUUUCUGGAAAGCUGCUCUGUCCUUGUUUGCAUCGAUGCUGUUGGCGGCACAGCUCCCUCCCAUGCCUCUGAGGGUAUCCCCAGGUUUCAGUCCUGCCCAUCCCCCUGUUCUCUCCCUGGGAUAAUGAUAAUUCAUCCACUCUUCUCUCCCUACAGGAGUCAGUCAUUCACUUCUCAAACAUUUAUCGAGUGCCUUUUAUACCCCAGGAACUGAUCCAGGCAUUGGAGUAGAAGGAUGAGGGCAAAAACUGGGUCCCUGCCUCCUGGAGUCCACAGUGAGGAGCGGGUAGUAAAUAGGCCUCCCCAGCACAGCUGGAAGGGCAACCCCUGGGGAAGUGCAGGCUCCCUGGGGGACCCUCAGGGGGCACCAUGCCUGACCUCACUGCACAGCCCCAUCCCUAAGCUCUCCCUUGCCCCUCCGCCUCCCGGAUGACCUAUCCACACUUCAGACAAAGCAGCUCCACAGGGAAACCCACAAUCUGUUCCUCCAAGCUAAGUGCCCUGCUGCUGGCCCAUUCUUGACACUGUGACCUGCGUCUCCCGCCCUGUGCGGGCUGCAAGCCUGGGAGUCCCACUACAGCUCUAGUUUCCCUUCAGAUCCUUACCCAGUCAGCCACCCACCCGGCAGCUCUUCUGCUGUCGUUGCGCUCAGCUCUGCUUCCGACUUUCCAUUCCUGUUGCCUCUGCCCACGGCCGGAGCCUCCCUGCCUCAUUCGUGCACUGUUUCGUAUUUAUAGAUGGGGUAUUUACUUCCUCAGAGAUUUAAAAAAGUUACCCAAGUGGUUCAUGUUCAUGGUGGAAAAUAAUUAGAAAAUAGAGAAAAAGAGAAAGAAGGAAGGAAGGAAGGAAGGAAGGAAGGGAGGGACGGGAAAACCACACAUUUCACCAUUCAGAUAAUGUCCCUAUUGAGCUGUGAUAGUUAUCCCUCUAGACUUUUUCCCGUGUAUCUAUCAAAAUAUCCUCAUCUAUCCAAAUGUGAAACAUGUCUUACAAAUCAUGAUUAUGUUAUCUAUAUUGUUUUGUAGUCGACUUCUUUAUACUUAGCUUCUAUGAUUGCUUUUCUGGAUCUAGAAAUAUAAUACUUUUUUUUCAUGGCUGUAUAAUUAUUGGAAGCAAUUUGCCCCUUCAUCUCUACGUCAUUUCAGUGUACUGUACACACCGCCCCUAAGUCAUUCUCACACUUGAUUGGUCUUGCUGCCCUUCUGCUGAAAAGCACAGGCAGCUUCCUAUGGCCCUCUGCCACCCGCCCCACAUUCCUCUUCUAUAGGAAAGGUUUUAUGCCUUUCUCAGUCUUCAGGAUUCUUUCUCUCCUCUGAAUAAGAUCUAUUAUUUGGACCAAGCUUGGUGGCUGUCAUAGGCUACACCUUGGGAUUAGGAGGGGCAGUUCCUGGGAUCCCACGGUGCCUUGCUCAUCGCUGUGCCCCUGCUCUGGCCCAUUCUCUCUCUCCCUCUUCCCAGUGUUGUAGGGUGUCACAUGCUGCCAGGUCUUGGGACUGAAGAGGUGACCAAAGUGCCUCCGAACUCCAGCUCCUACCGCAGUAGGGCAGAUACAGCCAUGAAAACAGACAAAUGCAACAGGGCAAGAUCACGACGCUGGGGAGGAAGAAAGGGUGUCCAUCGGGUGACAUUGGAGCUGGUCUUGCCCUGUGACAGGCACCUACAGAGCUCAGCUGGCAGUGACCAAAGAGGAUGACAGCAGGCAUUUCAGGGGUGGCAGAGGGGACUGGGGGCAGUGGGCAGCCUGGGAAGGGCAGGGGCCAGAUGGUGGGUGUUGGUGUGGCUUGGCAUGACAGAGGCGGCGGGGCCAGGGUAUGAACAGGCUUACGGAGCCAUCUCCACCCACCCACAGGACAGUUUUGAUGAGACAAAGCAAAUGGUGACGCACAGAAGGCCAGCAUGGCCCUUGCAUGCAGGGAACUUGUUGUUGAAACCAAGAUAAAUUUCUGUAUUUUUAUGAUUUUGAUAUCACAAGUCAAAUCCUGAAACCCACAUGUCACUGGGAUGAUCCAAAUGAUCUUACCGAACUGAAUGGAUUUUUUUUUCCUAUUAUACCAAAGACUAGAAAGACUUUUGAUAUCUAGGACUUUAUUUUCCUUGUCACAAUAUUCUGUAUAUUAGGAUUUGUUCAUGUCAGUUGCGUUUACUGACAGAUUAGAUUAGAUUAGAUUAGAUAUUUACUGACAGAAUUUCCUGGCAGAUUAGAAUGUGUGUGUGUGUAUGUAUUUGUUAGUAUAUUAAAACUAGUCAAAAAGCCUCUUUGCUGUUUAAAGAUAAUAUAUAAUUCUGCAAUUAAAUAUCUGUGUCCCUUUAAAAUCAUAUUCUUUUUUUUUUACCGAUGUCUACCUAUUUAGGAUGUAGUUCACUGUGAAUUUUUAAAUCAAAGAAAAUAACUUCUUCCAGUUUUUGUAAAGGGAGAUGAGGAAUGAUUUAAGCUUCACAAAUAGAACAUAGUGCUUUAAACUGUGAGGGACUUCUCACUGGGUCCAGCCUCAUCAUUAUACAGAAAAGGAAACGGGCCCUCAAAAGUGAAGCAAUUUGCCUAAAAUGACGUAGCUAAUUAGUGGCCCAGCCAAAACCCCAAUCCAGGACUUCUGGCUUUCAGUGCUGUGACCUUCCCACUAUUCCAUGCUGCCAGCUGGCUUAAAACAAAACAAAACAAACAAAAAACAAAAAACAAAAAAAAAAAAAAAAGAAGAAAAAGAAGAAAAAAUUGGAGAAUUGAGUUGACACAUUGCUUGAAUUCCCCUACCUCUUUAUAGAGUGUGAAAAAUCCUGAUAUGCUUUAAAAGAAACACUUAAAAAUGUAUCGGGACUUGUAAAGAAAAUCAGGAAUAUUUGUGAUAUGCUAAUUAGAAAGUAUCUCAUUAUGCGAGAGACAGGAAACGUGGCAGAGGGAGAUGCUAUUCAGAGUAACUUAAGGAAACUUCAAAGGUAAGACAAAAGGCCGUUCUUUUUAUUUAUUUGAUAAUGUUUGUGGCUGUCAUCAAAGUUCUGAUGGGGCCUGACACCUUUAUGAAAAACCCCCUGUAUGAAAAACACUGGGGGAAUCUCUCAGACACACGGAAGGAAAAGCAAACGAUUCCAUUUCCAUCCGAGUUUCCGUAGGUGGAAGACAGCCUUUCCCACAGUGCUCGCCUGCCAAGCAUCUUCCUGUAGGAACUUGUCAGUGCCGCCAUUAGUUGUUUGCAAAGGGAUUACGCUUUGGCAGCCAUGCUAAUCGCUCCAAGGUGACCCUUUAUUUGGAGAAACAAAUCCUUUUCAGUUGUUGUUACGGUACACUAAUCCAACCAUGCAAGUAGCUGUUUGGGAAAAAAAUUAUCAAAGUGCAUUUUCUCCCCACUACUUCUUUCUCUCCAGAUCGCUCCUAACUAAAAGUGCUGUUUCUUCCAAAGAAGUUCAAAAUGACAGGGAGAAAAACACAGAACCUGGUCAGAUUUCAAAUUCAGGAGCAGACAGGACCCCCUAGAUCUCAGAAGGAGCUGCCCCCCACCACUGAGGUUCAACAAAACCCCCAGGUGGGAGUGGACUGUCCCGUUACCUUGGGGGGGUCCUCACCCUGCUGCAGUGGGGCCCCUGUCUUUGUCUGGCCAUUGCUGCUGUUUGCCGCCAUGGUGAAGUUUGUUGCACUGUAAUGUUCAUAGAUACCCAGGAAGAGGGAGAACCGGGGAGCUUUCAGCCUCUCAGCCUGCGAGAGCCUCUAGGGAGAGACAAGGACACCUCAAAAUACCAGUUCUGACGUGAGAAGCGACUUUCAGGCAGGGUUUUGUAGAUCGUGUGGAUUUUGGAGUUGGAACACACUGGCUUGGGAUUGCAGUUUUGCAUCUUAGCUGUGUGACCGUGAACAAGUCACCUGGUCCCUGGGCGCCGCAGCUUCUUCAUCUGUAAAAUGGGUUGUGGUGAUUACCGGUAGGGAUGUUUGGAAGACACAAUGCGACAAUAUAUGUAAAGUGCCUCGCAGGGCGUAGGGCUCAUUGUGGGUCCUCAAAAAUAGUAGCAGUUAUCAUUUUUCCUAUAUUUAUGAUUAUCUAAACGCUAAUAUACCAACAACUAUUUUAGUUUAAAUUAGGACCCGGAAGAGCCCAAAUAUUAAUUUACAGCUCAGUGGAUGAUUCAAAGUGCAAAGCCCCACGUAACCACCAUCCAGGUGGUAACUAGAACAUUACAGGAUCACAGGAGCCUCAUCCCUCCCCGUCCACACGAUUUCCCCUUCCCUUCUUACCGAAUGUAGCCAUUUUCCUAAACUUCUAACACUCAACAGAUACUUCGUGAGGGUUUCCUAGAUCCCAGGCUCUAGACCACACAGUUCUUGCCCUAGGGAGCUUAGGUUUCAGAGGCAGGAGCCAGACAACAAAAGCAUAUGAGAAUGAGGGGAUUUCAGAUAACGUUAAGUGUUUGUUGUUGUUGUUUGUUUGUUUGUUUGUUUUUUGAGACAGAGUCUCACUCUGUCACCCAGGCUGGAGUGCAGUGGCACGAUCUCGGCUCAUUGCAACCUCUGCCUCCUGGGUACAAGCGAUUCUCCUGCCUCAGCCUCCCUAGUAGCUGGGAUUACAGGCACAUGCCAUCACCCCUAGCUAAUUUUUGUAUUUUGAGUAGAGACAGGGUUUCACCAUGUUGGCCAGGCUGGUCUUGAACUGCCUACCUCGGCCUCCCAAAGUGCUGUGAUUAUAGGCAUGAGCUACUGUGCCCAGCCAAUGUUAAGUGUUAUGAGGAAAAUAAAAUACCCGAAUGGGCCAGAAGACAGCUGUCAGAGGGUGCCUCUACAAGGGUGACCAGGGAAGGCCCUUCUGAAGAAGUGACAAUGGGAAGACCCAGGGAGGAGCUGUCCAUGGGAGGGAGCAGUGGGAGGCCCCUGGGCGGGAGAGGCUGGCACGCAUUUGAGUGGCAAGAAGAAGCCAUGCGAGAGUCGGCAGGGUUUACACCCUGAGGGCUCGAUACAGGCUUUGGGGGCAAAUUGCGUUUUAAGAUCAAGGGUAAUUAGUGUCCUGAGAAAAACCAAGGAAACUCAGAAGAGGGAGGGAUCGCGCCCCACCACCUCUCUCUAACGGUGCCCUGUGGGACUUGGACAGUGUGGUUUCCUUGUAAACACAGGGCCUCCCUGGACCGUCACUACCACCUCGUGAGGCCUACAAGGAAGGCGUGGUUAUUUCCGGUCAGACAGGAGGUGACAGACACUGGGAGGGCCUAAGGCUUGUUGCAGAACUCCUUUUACCACACCAGGGAGCCCACCAAUCUCACUGGGGAUGUUUAGGUUGCUCAUGUCAUCGUAGUUCAGGAUCUUCCGACCUAAGAAACAAGCCAACUCCUGCAGGAAGCAGGUAGCCUUGUGUCUCCCACAAGGUCAUCUGAGAAC